Molecule: long non-coding RNA, 6303 nt
Organism: Gopherus flavomarginatus (Mexican gopher tortoise)
Lineage: Eukaryota; Metazoa; Chordata; Testudines; Testudinidae
Exons: 2
Source: RefSeq, a predicted model, not a curated record
GAGGUUUCUCAUGGCUGGGGUUGAGACAAACUGGGAGAUAGGUUUAGAGCAAUGCUUAGCCCCUAAAACAGGGGAAAAAAUAUUUCUAAGUCUAAAACAGUAUUUUUAUUCUUUUAGCUUUUACAAAUAUCACUAACAUUUCAAUAAAGACAAAGAAUUUUGACACAUUUACUUACAUGCAUACAAAAUUAUGUACAAUAAAUAAGAAUCAGUUAAAGCUGAUUUGCUAAAAAAAUGUCAACCAAUGUAUGCCCCUCAACUUCUGUUUAAUAUUAGGAGAAGCAGAGUUUAACUUUCUAACCCAAACAAGACAAGACUUUCUGUAUUUAGGUUUUAAAAAAAAACACUUGAGAAUAAAGAUGUGGAGUUCUUUAAGUAAAAUAAGAAAUUGUUUUUAAAAUGUGAAUUAUACAUCCUACAUCUUAAAAAUAGCCUCUGUCUUUUCCACUGGAUAAAAUAAAUUAUUAGGCUGGUUAAUACAGACAUUUUGUUUGACGUAUGAGGUCAGAUAUUUGGCUCUGCUUCUGACUAUUUUGCCUUUUCAGGCUGUGAAAGAAAGUCAAAAAGCUGCCCUAAAAGAGGCUGUUAGAAAGUUAUCUUGGCAUAGAAGAAUCUCAGAAGAAAAGAAUAUAGACAGAUCUACUCCACCAGUUCUUGCUCCCAGUGUAAAACGUGUCAUAAGGGCAGGGCUAGGGAACACAGCAUUCCAGUGAACCUUGUGGCAUAAUGGCACUGAGGCUGUUCAAAUUUGUGCUCACAGUUGGCUCAGCUCCUAGCUAGCCCUGAGGUUCAGGGAAGACAACAGAUGCCUUAGAGACAUCUGCCUCCCCAUUGCUUCAGUUGUGCAAAGCUCUGCUCCAGUGCAAUGAGGUUUGGAGUCCAUAGUGACUCUUGGAUAAAUAAAUACUGUGGAAGCUGGGUUUAUUUAUUUAUCUAUAGAUACUGUUGUAGAUAUUAUAUGUUAUACAAAUUGUGCAUAAACCUGCAUUAGCACAAAUUGUUUAGGGAUUUGUAACCUUUAAGCCAAUUGGAAUGCAAGUUGUGAUCCAAAGAUUUUAUUUAUAAACAGUGGGCCUGAUCGCAUUUCAGUGAAAUCAGUGGCAAAAUUUCCUGAUCCAAAUUUGCCCUAACACCCCAUAGAGUCCUGCUAACAUCAAUAUGGUUGCAUAUGAGUAAGGGCAGGAUUGGCUCUCUCUUGACUUCAAUGGUGGCACAAAAUCAAGCCCAGAAUCGAUAUAUAUUUAUUAUUUCAACAGAAUUCCUGCCUGAAUACUCAGAUGUAUUCUCAUUAUCUUCAACCACAUAAACAAUAUGUUUGGAUGUAUUUUAUUUAUUCAAAUGUUUUCAAAGUUAUCCAAACACUUUGAGGCUUUAUUCUCACUUUCUGCCAGUAAUAUUUUUAACCAAAGAUGUCACUCAAUCAGCAUGGCUUCCCUGCGACUCCACAAACUUCAGUAUGUCUUUUUGUUGCUAGAUGUUAUUUUGUAACUGUAUGCUUUUCACCAGCCACCCUCUUUUUUUUUAUUAUUGUUAUUCUUCCAUUUCCUCUAAUAUCAUCCUGAUAUCUAUCUAUCUCAGUAGCACUUCCUGAAGGGUUUGAGACAUUUUUUAUUUUGUCAUAUUAUGAAAUGAAAAUGUCCCUGAACUCAUUCUGUUUAAUAAAAAGAAAUAAUCAAAGGAAAAGCGAAGCUCUAACAAGUUGCAACAUCAAUAUUAUUUAAUCAUGGAGCAGAGAUGUUGAGUCAGAGGCUAUGUCUUAGCCCAGUUCCUACAUGCAAAAGCAAAUACAGGCCAUAGGUGUCACACAAAGGGUGGAGACAACAGUGUAGAGCUGUCAUCAUGGGUAUCAGAGGCAUUAUCUCCAUAGUGCAAUGAAGAUUCUGGGCUGUGACACAGCCGCUAGACAAGCUGUCAGGAGGCUGCUGUAAAUUAGAGUAGCUCUUGGCAGCUCUAAUUUGGUUUGGGGACCUUAGAUGAAAACUUAACUUUACCCCAACUUCUCUUUAAUUAUAGUUUUCUAGGUCAAAGUAUGCAUGCUGUAUGUGUCAAAAUAUUGCAGUUUGGGGAAGGGUACCAUUUGAAAGCUUUUACUAAGGAAGGUUUCAGAGUAGCAGCUGUGUUAGUCUGUAUCUGCAAAAAGAACAAGAGUACUUGUAGCACCUUCUGUUCUUUUUACUAAGGAAGUUCUCCAGUUAUUCUACAGAAAUCUUGAGUCCUGACCAACCUCUUACUGAAGUUGAUGGGUGUCUUACUACUGACUUUAAGGUGAUUUAGACUGGACUGUUGAAAGGGUAGAAACUGGGAAUGUUAUCAAUGGUGAUGAAAGUGUUGACAUCAAAAUUAAGAUUCUGGCAGAAAUUCCAUAUCGUGCCUAAAGUACAGUACAUCUCUGAGGAACAUUAUGAAACUCCAAGGGCCAUUAAACUCAGAUCCAUUAAAUCUGCUUUUGUACUUUUUCAGUGACACAAAGCACACUUAAGGCCAUCUGAUCUGGGUCUUUGAGUACUAUCUCAACAUGCAAUCUCCUGCAAUCCUCCAGUGGCAUGAGGCCACCAUGCUGUGUAAAGCCCUUUCACUCACCAACACAGUGCAUGUGCCUAUGAGAAAGGGAACAUAGCUGGGGCUUCCCUAUAUCCUGGCAAACCCUGGCAGUCAGGCCCUUGGAGCUGUUGGAAGUCAUUGUGAGACAGAGUUGUCUGAAUGCCUAAGGUUGGCCAACAUUUAAUGGCCUUAGGGUCAGGGAGUCACAGAGGUGACUUAAAGCAAUUUUUGCUCCCUUUUAAACACACUGGACUUGUGCCAAGUGCCACUCAGCUGCUCCAGAGAAUCUGAGCCCAAAGGCUUAACUAUCCCAUGACACAGGUGUCCCAGAAAGACCUCUAUCUGUUUAUGACAGUAUGAGGUCAAUUGACCAAUGGUAUAUGAAGUAUAAUUUAAUUUACAGACUAAAUGCCAAUUUACUGAUGUGGGUAAAUCAGAAAACUGAGCUACUACCAUGAACCCAAUCCUGAAAAGGAUCAGCAAGGAUAUCAGGGAUCUGCCUGCAUGGAUUGUUCUGCACACAGCACACCACAAUUCAAACUGUGCAAAUGUUAGUGUAAUAUCUACAAGAGAGAACUUCCUAAAGUGGCAUUUAAUUGGCUUAAGUUUCAAAAUAUGGAAACUAGGCAUUUGUAGGGAAGACAUAAAGGGUAUGUCUACACUAUAAUAAAACACCUGUGGCUGGCCCAUGUCAGCUAACUUGGGCUUGCAGGGCUCAGGCUACAGGGUUAUAAAAUUGCAGGGUAGACAUUUGGGCUUGAGCUGGAGCCCGGACUCUGGGACCCCAGAAGAGGGGAAUGCAAAAACUGGAUAACAAUGGUGAUAGCAAUAUUAACUCAGCUAGGGAUAACUUGGGCAAGGUGCUGAGCACUCUGGCCCAUAUCUAUUAAAACAUUUAAGAAGGUGCUUAACUUUUAGCACAUGCAAAGUCCCACUGGAGUCAGUGGCACUAUGCACUUGCUUAAAGUUUAGCCUGUGGUUAAUUGCUGUGCUGGGGCCUUAGAUUUUUUGUGGACUGUUACUUUUAUGUGAGGAGAGGUAUUAUAGCUCCUUUUUGACCCAUCAGAUCUUAUUAAACUGCCUGCUUUUACUUCUUCAUUUAUCAGAUUUUUCUCAUUAAACCUCAGCUGUGAAGAAGCUUUCAUAGGUGUCCUAGAUUUCGCUCUGCUUUUGUCUUUUAUCUCCUUUUCCACCCAAAUACAUUUACAUACUGUAGCUUGGAGCCUGCAAAGAUGUUGUUUUAACACAUACCACUUAGUAUCUAAAUCUAAUCUCAGCCAUGUUAUCCAUUAGUGAAUGGAAAAUUGUUUUAUAUUUCUUAUUAUUUAAGUAACAGUGUAAUAUUUUUCUGGUUGAUUUUUAAAAGAUUUUAUUUCCUUAGCUUCUUAUAAGCAGAACCAGUAUUUUAAUUAUGAUCAGCUCUAUUUAUUAAUGUAUAGGCAUCUGAUUCUCUAAUCUUAAUAUAACUAAUAGAAUUAAGGAGCAUUUUUUUAAAGAAAACUUAUUUUCUACAUGUUACAGUUUAUGCCAUACUUCCAUAUUUGGCAGGAAGAUUAAAAUUAAUAUUGUUUAACUUUUGUCUGGUUUUGAGAUGGCUGAUAUACUAUUGCAAUCUUGUGUUAAUGAAAAUGUUACACACCUCAUUAAAAAAAAAUACUGACUGUAUAUUCACUGCAUUCAGAAAACUUUUAUAGUCAUUCUUAAUACAGGCCAGUGCUGGAAUAGACAAAUUGAACUGUCUAUUUUUAUUAAAAUAUGUAUGCAUACUGCAUGCAUUAAAUGUGACAGUUGAGCAUCGUACAGUGUGCAUUACAGCCACUCUAUAUGCAGUACUUGAUAUAAGUGGUGGUGUUAUACGAGAGAGAAAAAAGGUAGAGAACUAUGUUACUUGACUGGAAAUGCCCAAUAAACUUCUAUCCCCAAACUUCUAGAGUAGUAUACAGUCUGAGGCAUUUGUGGGGUCUCAAUACAGCUGUUUUUACUUAUUGUAAAUGCAUCUGGCAGACUGUUGCAAAUAACUUACAUUUCCAUAUGAUCUUGAUUCUCUCUUGCAUUUUGUCACUAGCAACUACAAAACACGUCUGAACCAACAAAUUCUGUUCACUGGUCAAAGUAACAGUGAGACCUGUUAUAAAUGCUAAAUUAGGCUUAGUAUCCAGUAAGGACUUCUGUUUUACCAAGAAACUGAAGCAAUUGAGUCUAAGAAGCUAGGAAGAGAAGAAGAUAGACAAUAGAGGAAAACACUAGUGUUAAGGGUCCUUUUGCAUUUGACACUGACGCUGUAUUAAUUAAAAAGAAAAUAUUCUCGUAACACCAUAAAUUGCUGGGUCAUAGGGGACAUCAGUCUAGUUUACUAAAGUAGAUAUUAAGACUUGUACAAAUAGAGAGCCUAUUUUAGAUAAUGCUUAAAUGUAUGACACCCUUGUACUAUGGCUUGCACUUUACUUGCAUAUAAACUGUGAAGUAGGCGGUAGUAAUAAUGUCUUUGUAUAUUCAGGGGUUGAAAUACCAAAGCAUUAGAGUAUUACGCUGCUGGUGUUCAACCUGUACUGUUAAUCAAAUCUGAACAAGCUCACGAACUGUAUUUUGAAAAUUCUGCUAACCUAAGAUCAUUAGCAAAUAAUGCUAUGGAGUCUCCAUGGUCUUUCUUUUGUAAAUAUGAACAUUCUUACUAUUUCUGUAGCAAUAGGAGGUUAUAAACCAAACUUUCACUAGGACUGUUUUCAACAACAAAAAAUUCUAUAGCGCCUUGUAUAAAAAUCAUGGAGACUCCAUGAUUUGUGGGCAUUUUUGUUUACAGACAAUAUGUAUAUAUGUAUUAGAGGCAGAACUGUUAUUUAUCACAAAGCUAUGUUGUGGUUAUUUCUAAAAGAAAAUGUAUGUUUUCUGUCAUAAAGAGAAAAAAGGUAUUUUAAUAGGAGCCAUCCUGAAAAGAAGUUUGAAGAUUCAAAGCUUCACAUACCAGUAUGUCCACAUUACAGGUGUUUCAGCCCCACCUGCUGUAUGUUUUCCUAAUUAGCUCUGAAAUAAAACUGAGAGGUGAUGACAAAAUAUCUAUCUGAGCCAGGGAAGAAUCCUGGAUUGUAUUCCAAUUUAUACAUGGUUGGAUAUUUUGAGACUGCAAUAUAAUAAUUACCAUCAUAUUUAUAUCUGAAGGUCCCUUUUUUGAGUAGGCACCAUUUAGAUUCUGUAGUAAAUAAAGUCCUUCAGCUCACUGAUGCUACAGAGAUAGAAAAUGAAUUACUUUGGACUCAUACAGGCAAAAAUAAAUUUUAACCCCAGGAUAAUACAGUACUUCUUCAGUUUCCCAACAGUAUACUUUAUUUUAUACUUGACCUAUGUUGGGAGGUGAUCCACUAAUUUAUAUAGCCUAUGAAUGUUAGUUUAUUUUUAUUUUCUCUUUUCAGAUUAGUUCUGUGUGAAUUAUUGUAAUUGGCUGCAUUUUUUCUAUCACAGGUUAUCUUUUUGUGUGUCUACAACGAGAAUUUAUGAAUGGAAAAUUUCACUGUGUGUUGCUCACUGGGCAUAUACCUCAUGGUACAUUGCACAGACAUGUAAGUUGUAAGUUGCACUGCAACAUUAAAAAAGGAACAUAUUGCUCUUUUUUCAAAGAUAUUAACUUAUUUAAAAGAUAUAGUCUGUACAUUAUGAAAAGGACAUUUAUUCCUCCUAAAUUCAAAAGUAGCUUUUGUUUUGGGGGAAAUAAGUUGUAAACUUCAGUUGUAAAUUUGGACUUCAAUAAACUGAAAUCUCUGCACUUAA